AUCGGAAUGAGUACACUUUAAAUCCUUUAACAAGGACCAAUUGGAGGGCAAGUCUGGUGCCAGCAGCCGCGGUAAUUCCAGCUCCAAUAGCGUAUAUUAAAGUUGUUGCGGUUAAAAAGCUCGUAGUUGAAUCUGUGUGUCACAGUGUCGGUUCACCGCUCGCGGUGUCUAACUGGCAUUAUGUGGUACGUCCUACCGGUGGGCUUAGCUCCUUGCGGGCGGUCCAACUAAUCUCCCAUCGCGGUGCUCUUCACUGAGUGUCGAGGUGGGCCGGUACGUUUACUUUGAACAAAUUAGAGUGCUCAAAGCAGGCUACCUUCGCCUGAAUACUGCGUGCAUGGAAUAAUGGAAUAGGACCUCGGUUCUAUUUUGUUGGUUUUCGGAACCCCGAGGUAAUGAUUAAUAGGGACAGAUGGGGGCAUUCGUAUUGCGACGUUAGAGGUGAAAUUCUUGGAUCGUCGCAAGACGGACUAAAGCGAAAGCAUUUGCCAAAAAUGUUUUCAUUAAUCAAGAACGAAAGUUAGAGGUUCGAAGGCGAUCAGAUACCGCCCUAGUUCUAACCAUAAACGAUGCCAGCUAGCGAUCCGCCGA
Molecule: ribosomal RNA, 591 nt
Filed under: Alloscirtetica sp. 1 JESJ-2019
Lineage: Eukaryota; Metazoa; Arthropoda; Insecta; Hymenoptera; Apidae
Description: SSU rRNA
Rfam family: Eukaryotic small subunit ribosomal RNA
Source: RNAcentral